CCUACGGGAGGCUGCAGUGGGGAAUAUUGGGCAAUGGGCGCAAGCCUGACCCAGCAACGCCGCGUGAAGGAAGAAGGCUUUCGGGUUGUAAACUUCUUUUGUCAGGGACGAGCCGAAGACGGUACCUGUCGAAUAAGCCACGGCUAACUACGUGUCAGCAGCCGCGGUAAUACGUAGGUGGCAAGCGUUAUCCGGAUUUACUGGGUGUAAAGGGGGCGUAGACGGCAGAGCAAGUCUGGAGUGAAAUCCCAUGGCUUAACCAUGGACCUGCAUUGGAAACUGUGCAGCUGGAGUGCAGGAGAGGUAAGCGGAAUUCCGAGUGUAGCGGUGAAAUGCGUAGAUAUUAGGAGGAACACCAGUGGCGAAGGCGGAUUACUGGACUGUAACUGACGUUGAGGCUCGAAAGCGUGGGGAGCAAACAGGAUUAGAUACCCCGGUAGUC
This 442-nucleotide ribosomal RNA is filed under the name uncultured bacterium. Its description in RNAcentral is "partial 16S ribosomal RNA". It matches the Rfam family "Bacterial small subunit ribosomal RNA", at positions 338 to 795 of the family's 1533-position model. The record is from RNAcentral.